UUCCAAACCGUUAGUUUACGUAGUUUGUCUAACUCUAAAACUGAACAACUAGUUGAGUAAUUAACAGUGCAAUGUUUAUGCCAAUGUAUUAUGUAUUUUUUAUGCUGUUGUAACAUAUACACAUUUAACUUCCCAAAGUGCACUGCUGCCAAAGAAAAUAGACGGCUGCUAAUAAGUUAAAGCAGAAAGAAACCUAACAGCGGCCACCGUGGCCUUUUUCGUGCGACCGAAAUGUGUAGCAUUAACGUCCAAACGUGCAUGUAGAACUACAUAUCACAUCCACUAUUCGACAGUUUCGACACUGUCAAUAAAAUCGUUCUGUGGUAUGCGUCCGUGCCACAUCCACGUUUGAGCCAAAGGGUAGAAAUGAAAACUAGAAAUACAAUCUCGUAGAAAUACAAGCUCUAUAAAAGCGAAAAUUUAAAGCUAAUAACAAGACAAAUUACCUUUGUCAUGUCCGGUGUGCUACCCAUUGGUUAUGCUGACCCUUCCCCUACAGUUACCUAAAAAAAAGGUUGACGAAAAGAAAUGGAUUAAUCGACAGAACAAAGUUAAAAAAUAAAUAAAAGUGCAACUUAUGAGAGAUGCAUACUAUGUAUGUUA
Long non-coding RNA from Monomorium pharaonis (pharaoh ant), 603 nucleotides. RefSeq lists it as uncharacterized. The record is from RefSeq and is a predicted model, not a curated record. The transcript is spliced from 2 exons. NCBI's taxonomy places the organism in Eukaryota, Metazoa, Arthropoda, Insecta, Hymenoptera, Formicidae.